UGCUAAUUCUUGAGUACAUCUGGAGUCACAAAUUGGAAUAUCAAAAGAAGGAAGAAAAUGGCUGAUUCUCACCUCUGGGGAACAAUACUUUGUAAUACAGUAAUCACUGCAUUCAUGUGAUCUGAGAAGGACUUGACAAAUCUGCCAGGUUUUUUUAAUCCAAAAAAAAAAUCCAAAUACUCCUGGAUUUAAAAUAGUGUUAGUCUCAAAUAUCAGCAGUGCCACAAUUCUACAUGGCAUUCAUAGCCUGUAGCCUUUGUUUUUAGGACAUUGAGACAAGUAACAUUUCUUUGAGGUUUGAACAAUAUUAAUCAUGAGAGUGGAUGCUAAGAGCUAUGUUCCAUGGAACCAGCACUGGGUGCCAGAUCCUGACAGAGCUGCCCAUGUGUUCUUUAAUGUGUGUGUGUGUGUGUGUGUGUGUGUGUGUGUGUGUGUGUGUGUGUUUUACUGGGCAGGGACAUCUAACGCAAGUCCUAGGUACUGUAAUGGCCAUGGGGCUCUUGCCAGAGAGUGUUCCCUGGUCACACAUUGCCAGUGGUAACCAGAGCUGACAAUGUGCCCAGUGCUUAUAAACUUCCUGUACUUUGGAUCUGUGGAACCAUCUACCCUCUCUAACCCUGAAACAAUCUAGUCAACAAGGGAGAGCAGCCAAGAGGGCAAUACCAAACCUAGCAGGUAGCCGGUACCCACCUCCCCCAACUGGAAAAGGCAGCCAAGUUCAACCAAGCAAGGUUCUCUGUGUCCCUAUUUCUGAAGGGGGAAAUCAAGGAAUUGAUGAUCCUGUGGGCAUUAACAAGUUGUAUCUGGGGCCCUGCAGCUGAGAAUGUGGUGGGGGAAGGGAUGAGCAAAUUUAAAGCAAUCUGUCUCAGAACCCUAGCACCAAUGGUUACACAGACUUAGCGAAAUUUAGCUGUUGAAUGAUUGGGGCAAGAUCCAGUGCAACUGCUCCGUACCCCAUAAAAGGUUAUGGAUAGAGGAUAACUGUACCUUGUAAUAUACACCAGAUGUGUGCCAAAUUGGAUCCAACCAAAUACCAUAAUUAGGUUAGCAGCUGCAUCAUAAAUGGACAUUUUCAAAUAUUUGCUUGACAAUGAGGGAUACAAAGAGGAUUCAAAAUGGGCCUCACCACCCUGAAGAGAGGCAAUACGUGAACCAGUAAUUAUACCUGUGGUAGCUGUAGUUGGUACUGACACCUGCCCAAGGUUUAGCUGGCAGGCAGGGAAUUAAGGUUGAUUGCGUUUUCUUCACUAUAUAGCAACGGCAGAUAAUGAUGGAUACUUAAGAGGUCAUGGUGUGUAUUACCUACAAAAGGAAGGAAAAAUCUAGAUCACCAAGACGUUAGGGCACCCUAUACUUGAAAUUGUAAGAUUCACUGCACCCUUUUGUAAGACUAAGGCAGUCUGCAGUGCAUUUGGCUUCAGCCUAAUAGGAUUUACCCGGUGUUCCUUUUCGAAGGAGAGAGGAGAAAAGGAGACUAAGGGAAAGGGAGAGGAAAUGAAAAGCUCUCAGAUGGACGGAAAGCUGAUUUCCUUUCUACACACCUCCUGUGGGUAUUGUCCUAUGAGUUUGUGGUUCAUGAGAUUUCAUUGGGAAAAUGAAAACUCCCAAGUCCAAAGGAUUAGUGAGCAGUUUUAGAUGUCUUACUUUUCACAUGGUAGGUGUUUUGUAAGUUACCUUGGUUGCAAGUAACAGAAAAAUCUGACCCAAAUGGCCCAGAAAAGUAAAUGUAUUGGUUCAUGAAAAGGAUUCCCCAAAAUGAGGUUGUACCAGGGCUGCGAAACUGUCACUUGGACCCAGUUUCUUCACCUUUCCACCCCUCCACUUUGCCACGUUGGUACUUGGUGGGCCUACUCUUACUUAGGCCCUUCUCUCCUGGUCCCCAAACAGCUGGAAGCUUUCUAGGUCUACCUGCUUCCUUUUUCAAUGCUUAACUCCAAAUCCCCUAAUUGAAUUUCAUUGGCCAGGUGCUUUUCCACAUGCUCAUUCUUGAACCAAUCAAUGUAAUUAGGAGGAAGUGGUUCAUUAAGACAAGAUCAUAAACCAAUGAGAGCCCCCUCCAGGGAUUUGGAGGUAGACCCAUUCCACCCAAACUCCAUGGUUGGGAAAUUCUAGGUCUAUGAGGAAAAGGAAGGUAGGAAACGGGUGUCAGAGGGACAACUAAUAACACUCCUUACUCUUGUCUUUCUAAACAUGUUUUGAGUUUUUGGAAUUACAUUUUAAAUACAUCUAGAGGCUAUAUAUUUUAAGAAAAUUUUGUUGUGUUCACUUCGAUUAUAUUAACAUUUUUUAGUACUGCUAAUAACCAUACCUUAAUGUAUCUUUUUGUAAACCUACACUAUCAGUUGAAAUAAAUACAGGUUCCCAGAAUGUCUGGAAUUCUAAAAUGGAGGAGAGCUGGGAAAUUAAUGUCACUGCGUUUUCUUGUUAUGCUAGCUUUGCUAUCAAACUCAGUCCUUUUACUCUACAGAAGGUGGGGCAAGAUUUAGUUAACUGCUUUUCAUUAGAAAGCAAACCAGGUCAAGGGUCAACAUGUAAAACUAUACAGCCGAUUCCUUCCUUUUCUGUCCACAGGGGGACUCACUGGCUGGCUUCUAAGGAGAGGAGCACGUGGUAGAUCCAAGGGGAUCCACCUGGCCGUUUUUCCAGCAGGGUGGGUGGAUGCCUCUGACAAGAUACUCAGGCCACCCUGGAGACCACAGUGGUGACCACGCAGCAAGAAGCCAUCCCCUUCAGACUGGGCACCUCUUCAUCUGCUUUUCCCCAAACUAUAUACCUGAUGGACAUACUAUGGGUUUAAGCAGGUGUUUGCAGGAGAGACAAAAACAGAGAAAACAAGGAGAUCUGGGAGACGGAAAAGGGAAAAGGAGAACACAGACUAUAUCUGCAGAUGGGGAACUGGAUGCCCAGAUACCAUAGGGACGGGUUCCUUCAUUUCCAAAACCAGACCAAAGAACAUCAGCUUUCUGGGUCCAGGAACAACCUUGGUUCCCUUGCUUUUCUGAAAAGAAGCCUUAAAAGUAUGUCGACCGUGGAGAAAGACAUCCUGUGAUUGUAUUGUGUCCACCGAAAAGUAAAAACCACAAGAUAAGGACCACGGAACUGAAGGAUGCUGUCCCACUCCCAGCCCCAACGCUUUGAAAAGUGCCUUUAUAAGCCUCGCACACUAUCCCUUCAGAGAUCGACAUUCCUUUUUCUUGAUGGCUCCUUUGUACACAAGCUAUCUCUAAUAAACUCCA
Molecule: long non-coding RNA, 3236 nt
Organism: Acinonyx jubatus (cheetah)
Lineage: Eukaryota; Metazoa; Chordata; Mammalia; Carnivora; Felidae
Exons: 3
Source: RefSeq, a predicted model, not a curated record